RNAcentral lists this non-coding RNA (25 nucleotides) under Mus musculus (house mouse). The record is from RNAcentral. Lineage: Eukaryota; Metazoa; Chordata; Mammalia; Rodentia; Muridae.
UAAUGUCCUAAGGGGGGUGUUCUCG